Molecule: unclassified non-coding RNA, 330 nt
Filed under: soil metagenome
Description: partial contains 5.8S ribosomal RNA, internal transcribed spacer 2, and large subunit ribosomal RNA
Rfam family: 5.8S ribosomal RNA (bases 1-121)
Source: RNAcentral
GAUGAAGGAACGUAGCGAAAUGCGAUAAGUAGUGUGAAUUGCAGAAUUCAGUGAAUCAUCGAAUCUUUGAACGCACAUUGCGCCCCUUGGUAUCCCGAGGGGCAUGCCUGUUCGAGCGUCAUUUCACCACUCAAGCCUGGCUUGGUGUUGGGCGACGUCCUCUUUGGGGACGCGCCUCGAAACGCUCGGCGGCGUGGCACCGGCUUUAAGCGUAGCAGAAUCUUUCGCUUUGGAAGUCGGGGCCCCGUCUGCCGGAAGACCUGCUCGCAAGGUUGACCUCGGAUCAGGCAGGGAUACCCGCUGAACUUAAGCAUAUCAAUAAGCGGAGGA